UACAGAGGUCCCAAGCGUUGGUCGGAUUCACUGGGCGUAAAGGGUGCGUAGGCGGUCGGGUAAGUCUGAUGUGAAAUCUCACAGCUUAACUGUGAAACUGCAUUGGAUACUAUCCGGCUCGAGGAAUGGAGGGGAGACUGGAAUACUUGGUGUAGCAGUGAAAUGCGUAGAUAUCAAGUGGAACACCAGUGGCGAAGGCGAGUCUCUGGACAUUUCCUGACGCUGAGGCACGAAAGCCAGGGGAGCAAACGGG
RNAcentral lists this ribosomal RNA (253 nucleotides) under uncultured bacterium. Its description in RNAcentral is "partial 16S ribosomal RNA". It matches the Rfam family "Bacterial small subunit ribosomal RNA", at positions 524 to 776 of the family's 1533-position model. The record is from RNAcentral.